Molecule: long non-coding RNA, 556 nt
Filed under: Brassica napus (rape)
Lineage: Eukaryota; Viridiplantae; Streptophyta; Magnoliopsida; Brassicales; Brassicaceae
Description: long non-coding RNA (BNAP_LNC020916)
Source: RNAcentral
AACCGGAAGAUGAGAACAUGAACGUUUCCAUUGCUCUUGAUAUGUAACUCACUUCUUGAGCAAAUAUCAGGUAAGUCCAUCCUUGACUUUUUGUUAUCUUUUGUCUUCCCAGGGACGUUAAGUAAUGUACUCAUGAUGUUCUCAAAAAAGUUCUUCUCAAUAUGCAUGACAUCCAGAUUGUGGCGUAAGAGAAGAUCCUUCCAAUAGGGUAGCUCCCAAAAUAUACUCUUCUUAUGCCAAUUGUGAGACACACCAUAUCCAUCAGACAUAUUUCCAGGAACAUGUCAAUUUCCUCCAACUUUAACUGUUUCCUGAGCUCCGUAAUAAUCAAUGUCUGCUUCGAUCUGCCGGCCGGUGAGAUAUGGAGGAGGACCGUCUCUGACAAUUUUUUUGUGCCGAAACAAUGUCUUAUUUCUUCUGUACGGAUGGGCAAGUGGAAGAAAGCAACGAUGACAGUCAAACCAACAACUCUUCCUACCAUUCUUCAGUUGAAAAGCAUCUGUCGAUCCAAGACAAUAUGAACAAGAUAAUCUUCCAUGUGUUGUCCAUCCAGACA